UACGUAGGGGGCAAGCGUUGUCCGGAUUUAUUGGGCGUAAAGAGCGUGUAGGCGGCCAGACAGGUCCGUUGUGAAAACUCGAGGCUCAACCUCGAGACGCCGAUGGAAACCGUCUGGCUAGAGUCCGGAAGAGGAGAGUGGAAUUCCUGGUGUAGCGGUGGAAUGCGCAGAUAUCAGGAAGAACACCAAUGGCGAAAGCAGCUCUCUGGGACGGUACUGACGCUGAGACGCGAAAGCGUGGGGAGCGAACAGG
RNAcentral lists this ribosomal RNA (253 nucleotides) under uncultured bacterium. Its description in RNAcentral is "partial 16S ribosomal RNA". It matches the Rfam family "Bacterial small subunit ribosomal RNA", at positions 524 to 776 of the family's 1533-position model. The record is from RNAcentral.